This 422-nucleotide ribosomal RNA is filed under the name uncultured bacterium. Its description in RNAcentral is "partial 16S ribosomal RNA". It matches the Rfam family "Bacterial small subunit ribosomal RNA", at positions 360 to 774 of the family's 1533-position model. The record is from RNAcentral.
AAUUUUGGACAAUGGGGGAAACCCUGAUCCAGCCAUCCCGCGUGUAUGAUGAAGGCCUUCGGGUUGUAAAGUACUUUUGGCCGAGAAGAAAAGGUAUCUCCUAAUACGAGAUACUGCUGACGGUAUCUGCAGAAUAACCACCGGCCAACCACGUGCCAGCAGCCGCGGUAAUACGUAGGGUGCAAGCGUUAAACGCAAUUACUCGGACUAAAGCGUGUGUAGGCGGUUCGGAAAGAAAGAUGUGAAAUCCCAGGUCUCAACCUUGGAACUGCAUUUUUAACUGCCGAGCUAGAGUAUGUCAGAGGGGGGUAGAAUUCCACGUGUAGCAGUGAAAUGCGUAGAUAUGUGGAGGAAUACCGAUGGCGAAGGCAGCCCCCUGGGAUAAUACUGACGCUCAGACGCGAAAGCGUGGGGAGCGAACA